AGUGAACGCUGGCGGUAGGCCUAACACAUGCAAGUCGAACGGCAGCACAGUAAGAGCUUGCUCUUACGGGUGGCGAGUGGCGGACGGGUGAGGAAUACAUCGGAAUCUACUUUUUCGUGGGGGAUAACGUAGGGAAACUUACGCUAAUACCGCAUACGACCUACGGGUGAAAGCAGUGGAUCUUCGGACCUUGCGCGAUUGAAUGAGCCGAUGUCGGAUUAGCUAGUUGGCGGGGUAAAGGCCCACCAAGGCGACAAUCCGUAGCUGGUCUGAGAGGAUGAUCGGCGGCACUGGAAGUGGGACACGGUCCAGACUCCUGCGGGAGGCACCAGUGGGGAAUGUUGGGCAGAGGGCGCAAGCCUGGUCCAGCGGUACCGCGUGGGUGAAGAAGGCCUUCGGGUUGUAAAGCCCUUUUGUUGGGAAAGAAAAGCAGCAGGUUAAUACCCCGCUGUUCUGACGGUACCCAAAGAAUAAGCACCGGCUAACUUCGUG
This 492-nucleotide ribosomal RNA is filed under the name uncultured bacterium. RNAcentral describes it as "partial 16S ribosomal RNA". It matches the Rfam family "Bacterial small subunit ribosomal RNA", at positions 29 to 507 of the family's 1533-position model. The record is from RNAcentral.